AUUUUAUUUACAAAUUUGUAAUUAUUGAUUAAUAUUUUUUAAUACAUAACUCUUAUAUAUUAUUAAUAUAUGUUUAUUAUAAUUUUAAAUAUAUUUAAUCUAUAUAUAAAAAUUAUAAUAAUAAUAUAUAUAGUAUAUUAAUUAUUAUAUAUUUUUUAUAUAGCUGAAUUUUUUAUCCCUAAUUUUUAAUUGGUGAACGUAUAAUACCCAUAUAAAUCACGUAUCCAAAUAAUUGCCGAAUCCGUUUUUUAGCCGUAUUUUUCAACAAUUUAAAAAUUCAGUGACGAAUUUUAUCCGAAUUAUAUCCGUACCGAAUUUUUGCCGAAUCUGAAUUAACUAACUAUACCUCCAGCAACCAAGGUUGAUUUAGCUGCGAUCGAUCUCAUCUGUUCAUCUGCUCGCUCCCGACGUGCUUAAUUAAUUAAUUGAUAUUUGAAGGGCAAAUAAAAAAGUAUUUGCUAUAUGAAGGGUAUAUAAGAAAAGUUAGUUACGGUAUAAGGGUAUAUUGGAAUGGGUAAAAUAGUAAUUUUCCAGAGAUAACAGUAACUGUUAACACAUCACUAACGGUAUUUAACUCCAGAGGUAUAUUAGAAAGAACUUGGAACAUAAGAAGAGUAUUUUCAAUAUUAGUCUUCUAAGAUGGGUAAAUAAGAAAAGCGGUAACUUUUCAGAGGUAUAUAGGCAAUUGCCCAUUUUUAUAAUAUGUUGUAAUAUUUUAUAUUAGUUUCGCAUAAUAUACUAUACUAUUCGUAAUUUAGUGUAAAAAUAACGCAAAAUGUGUAUUAAUAAUACAUAUCUUGCACUACUUAUACAGAUAUUGCACUAUUUGGAAGAGCAUGUUGCACUAUUUGAAAAUGUUGCACUAUUUGAGAGCAUAUUGUGCUCUUUUAUUUUAUUAAUUAUACUUUAUUUUUUUAUCUUGUCCUGAAUGAGGAUUCUUGUUUCACGAGAAAGGUACAUAUAAUUAUGACUUAACAGUUGUCAUUUUCAAAAAAUUUGACGCUUAAUAGAUUAGCAGUUGUAUUUUUCUAUGCAUUUAAAGUAUGUAACUUUUAUGCACUUUGAAAGAAGAAUAGUUUGGUUAUUUGUCUAAAAAUUCGGUUCAAAUCUGUAAAAUUCAAAAAGACGACCUACUUUUCGCGAAAGCUCAAAAUUAAUUGAUUUUUUAUGAAAAUUGGCCUAAAGUUUUUAGUAGUAAAAAUAUUUUUUAAAAAA
Molecule: long non-coding RNA, 1215 nt
Filed under: Ananas comosus (pineapple)
Lineage: Eukaryota; Viridiplantae; Streptophyta; Magnoliopsida; Poales; Bromeliaceae
Description: long non-coding RNA (ACOM_LNC034686)
Source: RNAcentral